AGAGUUUGAUCAUGGCUCAGAGUGAACGCUGGCGGCAUGCUUUACACAUGCAAGUCGAACGGUAACAGGCCUUCGGGUGCUGACGAGUGGCGAACGGGUGAGUAAUGCAUCGGAACGUGUCCAGGCGUGGGGGAUAGCUCGGCGAAAGCCGGAUUAAUACCGCAUGUGACCUGAGGGUGAAAGCGGGGGAUCUUCGGACCUCGCGCGCCUGGGGCGGCCGAUGUCGGAUUAGCUUGUUGGUGGGGUAAAGGCUCACCAAGGCGACGAUCCGUAGCGGGUCUGAGAGGAUGAUCCGCCACACUGGGACUGAGACACGGCCCAGACUCCUACGGGAGGCAGCAGUGGGGAAUUUUGGACAAUGGGGGCAACCCUGAUCCAGCCAUGCCGCGUGGGUGAAGAAGGCCUUCGGGUUGUAAAGCCCUUUCGGCCGGGAAGAAAGCGCGCGGGUGAACAAUCCGCGUGGAUGACGGUACCGGAAGAAGAAGCACCGGCUAACUACGUGCCAGCAGCCGCGGUAAUACGUAGGGUGCGAGCGUUACUCGGAAUUACUGGGCGUAAAGCGCGCGUAGGCGGUCCACCAAGUCGGGGGUGAAAGCCCGGAGCUCAACUCCGGAAUUGCCUCCGAGACUGUUGGACUGGAGUUCGGGAGAGGAGAGCGGAAUUCCCAGUAGAGGUGAAAUUCGUAGAUAUUGGGAAGAACACCAGUGGCGAAGGCGGCUCUCUGGCCCGUAACUGACGCUGAGGCGCGAAAGCGUGGGGAGCAAACAGGAUUAGAUACCCUAGUAGUCC
Molecule: ribosomal RNA, 789 nt
Filed under: uncultured bacterium
Lineage: Bacteria
Description: bacterial SSU rRNA
Rfam family: Bacterial small subunit ribosomal RNA
Source: RNAcentral